UGGGGAAUUUUGGACAAUGGGGGCAACCCUGAUCCAGCCAUGCCGCGUGAGUGAAGAAGGCCUUCGGGUUGUAAAGCUCUUUCGGUGGGGACGAAAUGGCCUCGGCUAAUACCUGAGGUCGAUGACGGUACUCACAGAAGAAGCACCGGCUAACUACGUGCCAGCAGCCGCGGUAAUACGUAGGGUGCAGGCGUUAAUCGGAAUUACUGGGCGUAAAGGGUGCGCAGGCGGUUUUGUAAGUCAGGCGUGAAAUCCCCGAGCUUAACUUGGGAAUGGCGCUUGAGACUGCAAGGCUAGAGUGUGUCAGAGGGGGGUGGAAUUCCACGUGUAGCAGUGAAAUGCGUAGAGAUGUGGAGGAACACCGAUGGCGAAGGCAGCCCCCUGGGAUAACACUGACGCUCGGGCACGAAAGCGUGGGGAGCAAACAGGAUUAGAUACCCCCGUAGUCC
Molecule: ribosomal RNA, 449 nt
Filed under: uncultured bacterium
Lineage: Bacteria
Description: bacterial SSU rRNA
Rfam family: Bacterial small subunit ribosomal RNA
Source: RNAcentral